RNAcentral lists this ribosomal RNA (442 nucleotides) under uncultured Anaerovorax sp. RNAcentral describes it as "partial 16S ribosomal RNA". Lineage: Bacteria; Bacillati; Bacillota; Clostridia; Peptostreptococcales; Anaerovoracaceae. The record is from RNAcentral.
GACUACUGGGGUAUCUAAGCCUGUUUGCUCCCCACGCUUUCGUGCCUCAGUGUCAGUUACAGUCCAGAAAGUCGCCUUCGCCACUGAUGUUCCUCCUAAUAUCUACGCAUUUCACCGCUACACUAGGAAUUCCACUUUCCUCUCCUGCACUCAAGUCUCACAGUUCGCAAGGCUAACAAUGGUUAAGCCACUGCCUUUCACCCCACGCUUACAAGACCACCUACGCACUCUUUACGCCCAAUAAUUCCGGAUAACGCUCGCCCCCUACGUAUUACCGCGGCUGCUGGCACGUAGUUAGCCGGGGCUUCCUCCAAGGGUACCGUCAUUUUUUUCUUCCCCAAGGACAGAGCUUUACGACCCAAAGGCCUUCUUCGCUCACGCGGCGUUGCUGCAUCAGGCUUUCGCCCAUUGUGCAAUAUUCCUCACUGCAGCCGCCCGUAGG